RNAcentral lists this ribosomal RNA (506 nucleotides) under uncultured bacterium. Its description in RNAcentral is "partial 16S ribosomal RNA". It matches the Rfam family "Bacterial small subunit ribosomal RNA", at positions 29 to 523 of the family's 1533-position model. The record is from RNAcentral.
AGUGAACGCUGGCGGUAGGCCUAACACAUGCAAGUCGAACGGCAGCACAAGAGAGCUUGCUCUCUGGGUGGCGAGUGGCGGACGGGUGAGGAAUACAUCGGAAUCUACUCUGUCGUGGGGGAUAACGUAGGGAAACUUACGCUAAUACCGCAUACGACCUACGGGUGAAAGCAGGGGACCUUUGGGCCUUGCGCGAUUGAAUGAGCCGAUGUCGGAUUAGCUAGUUGGCGGGGUAAAGGCCCACCAAGGCGACGAUCCGUAGCUGGUCUGAGAGGAUGAUCAGCCACACUGGAACUGAGACACGGUCCAGACUCCUACGGGAGGCAGCAGUGGGGAAUAUUGGACAAUGGGCGCAAGCCUGAUCCAGCCAUACCGCGUGGGUGAAGAAGGCCUUCGGGUUGUAAAGCCCUUUUGUUGGGAAAGAAAUCCAGCUGGCUAAUACCCGGUUGGGAUGACGGUACCCAAAGAAUAAGCACCGGCUAACUUCGUGCCAGCCGCCGCAGUAA